CCUACGGGAGGCAGCAGUGAGGACUAUUGGUCAAUGGACGAGAGUCUGAACCAGCCAAGUAGCGUGAAGGAUGACUGCCCUAUGGGUUGUAAACUUCUUUUAUAUGGGGAUAAAACAGGGUAUGCAUACCCUCUUGUAUGUAACAUAUGAAUAAGGAUCGGCUAGCUCCGUGCCAUCAGCCGCGGUAAUACGGAGGAUCCGAUCGUUAUCCGGAUUUAGUGGGUUUAAAGGGAGCGUAGGUGGAUUGUUAAGUCAGUUGUGAGAGUUUGCGGCUCAACCGUAAAAUUGAAGUUGAAACUGGCAGUCUUGAGUACAGUAGAGGUGGGCGGAAUUCGUGGUGUAGCGGUGAAAUGCUUAGAUAUCACGAAGAACUCCGAUUGCGAAGGCAGCUCACUGGACUGCAACUGACACUGAUGCUCGAAAGUGUGGGUAUCAAACAGGAUUAGAUACCCCAGUAGUC
Molecule: ribosomal RNA, 460 nt
Filed under: uncultured bacterium
Lineage: Bacteria
Description: partial 16S ribosomal RNA
Rfam family: Bacterial small subunit ribosomal RNA
Source: RNAcentral